GAUGAAGAACGCAGCGAAAUGCGAUACGUAAUGUGAAUUGCAGAAUUCAGUGAAUCAUCGAAUCUUUGAACGCAUAUUGCGCUCUCUGGUAUUCCGGAGAGCAUGCUUGUUUGAGUAUCAGUAAACACCUCAACCUCCAUAUCUUUUUUGAAAUGGGAGUUGGACUUGAGUGAUCCCAACGCUUUUCCUCACCGAAAAGUGGCGGGUUACUUGAAAUGCAGGUGCAGCUGGACUUUUCUCUGAGCUAUAAGCAUAUCUAUUUAGUCUGCCUAAAAAACAGAUUAUUACCUUUGCUGCAGCUAACAUAAAGGAGAUUAGUUCUUGUGCUGACUGAUGCAGGAUUCACAAAGACAGGCUUCGGCCGACUUUGUAAACUCGAUCUCAAAUCAAGUAAGACUACCCGCUGAACUUAAGCAUAUCAAUAAGCGGAGGA
RNAcentral lists this unclassified non-coding RNA (433 nucleotides) under soil metagenome. RNAcentral describes it as "partial contains 5.8S ribosomal RNA, internal transcribed spacer 2, and large subunit ribosomal RNA". The stretch from base 1 to 120 matches the Rfam family "5.8S ribosomal RNA", at positions 35 to 154 of the family's 154-position model. The record is from RNAcentral.